RNAcentral lists this long non-coding RNA (228 nucleotides) under Elaeis guineensis (African oil palm). RNAcentral's name for it is "long non-coding RNA (EGUI_LNC047146)". The record is from RNAcentral. Lineage: Eukaryota; Viridiplantae; Streptophyta; Magnoliopsida; Arecales; Arecaceae.
CGACGGCCCGCUGCUCGUAUGCCAGUUGGAUCUUCAGUUGUUGCAGCUCAGCUGUCUUUUCCCCGAGGGAGCCAGAAAUCCCCUCAACGGUGCCUCUUAGGGCUUGGAGCUCAUCAGAAUCUCGGGCGGAAGUAAGCUGUGCCCUGCUAGCCAGCUGCCUCUGGAGACGGACGACUUCGUCGGCCACCGCCCUGAAUCUCCCUUUAUAUUCUUCCACCUGCCUGCGCC